AUACGGAGGAUCCGAGCGUUAUCCGGAUUUAUUGGGUUUAAAGGGUGCGCGGGCGGGAGAUUAAGUCGGCGGUGAAAUUUUGCAGCUCAACUGUAAAAGUGCCUUCGAAACUGGUUUCCUUGAGUGUAGAUGAAGUAGGCGGAAUUUGUGGUGUAGCGGUGAAAUGCAUAGAUAUCACGAGGAACUCCGAUUGCGCAGGCAGCUUACUAAACUACUACUGACGCUCAGGCACGAAGGCGUGGGGAUCAAACAGGAUUAGAUACCCUGGUAGUCCACGCAGUAAACGAUGAUUACUAGCUGUUUGCGAUACAAUGUAAGCGGCUGAGCGAAAGCGUUAAGUAAUCCACCUGGGGAGUACGUUCGCAAGAAUGAAACUCAAAUGAAUUGACGGGG
This 393-nucleotide ribosomal RNA is filed under the name uncultured bacterium. Its description in RNAcentral is "partial 16S ribosomal RNA". It matches the Rfam family "Bacterial small subunit ribosomal RNA", at positions 523 to 918 of the family's 1533-position model. The record is from RNAcentral.